UAAUGCACAUAUGUGUAUAUAAGCAUAAAGUCUGAAAAUGACAACCUUGCAGCUGGCGGGACCAGAGCUGGGACUCUCCACUCGAUGAUACACUGCGGCGGCACCAACCUCGGGAAUCACCCUGGGACGAUUUCCGGGGCGACUCUUCUUGUUGCCGCUCUCCACGCAGCAGCAAAGUAGAAUACUGAGCGGCACAGCCUCCCCCUCCUCCAGGGUCUGUGGAAGAUUCCUGUUCCGCGUCUCUGGCAGCAGAAGGCUGGCAAAUCCGCCAACAAUGAGCAGCACUCCCAUCACAAUCAGCGGCAAUGCCAGCAUUUGCUGGCCCUGCAACGAAACAGAAGCUACGGGAAACGGGUCGGGAUCUGGACAGGUUCAUGGGCACUCACCAUGUGAUUGAUAAUGGGAAUGACAAUGGGCCCGAUCAUGGCUACCACAGAGCUGAAGCUCAUGCCCAGGCCCCGCACCACCGUGGGAUACAGCUCGGACGCCAGCAGCGGCAGCACCACAAAGGACGAGCUGAUGCCCAUCUUUCCGACACAGUACAGCAGCAGGGUGAUUUUCGGAAAGAGGAACGUGGCGACGCAGGCCACUCCCCCCACGAGCAUCGAAAUGAAGAGGAUCCAGCGCCGUCCGAAGUAGCUGAGUCCUGGCCAGAGAAGCAGAUACGUGGGCAGCUCCACGGCCCCGGCCAAGAAGAAGUUCCAUAUCUCGUCGCCGCCCAAGGCAGGAGCGUAGUAGCUCAGGCCGACAUAAACGCUAGUGUUGGCGAACCAGAUCAGAGUGAUAAUCAGGGUCUUGCGGCGCAUGUUGGUGCCCCGAAAUAGAUCCAAGAUGCCAUAGUGCAUGGUGGCUGACGACUCCGCGGCCUGCGUUGUCACUAGGCGAUGCUGCAGGCGCUCUACGAAGUCCCUGGUGAUGCGUACUCCAUUCACGCGUGCCAUUACUUUGAGGAUCUUGGUAGCCCGCUUCGUCUGCCCCACGGCCAUCAGCCAGCGAGGAGACUCUGGCAGCAAAAAGAAGCAGGAGAAGAGCAUCAGUAGUGGCAUGGACACGGCUAGACUGAGCUCUCGCCAGUCCCGCACAAUGUAGAUCACGCCGGCCAGGACGACCAGUCCCAAGGAGUAGGCAAUGUUUGAGACGAUUGUGCAGAAGACGCGACGAUCGGGACCCACUAGUUCUAUGGCGAGGACGUAGGGACUCGCCAGAAUUGCCGGCACUGUCAGCCCCACCACAAAGCGGAGCCCCAGCCAGACGGAGAAGUUCCACGCAAAGGCACUAGCCGCACAGGCAGCAAUCUCCAGCAGCAGAUAGGCGUAGAAGGAGGGUCGUCGCCCCCACAUAUCCACCAGAUAGCCGAACACGUAGUUCCCAAGCAGUCCACCCACUCCAAAGAUGACCAAUGCCAAUGUCACCAGGUAGCUCCUGUCGCACACCAGAUUCCACUGCAAACGGAUAGAGUCAGAGAGGAGUAGCAAGAGACAGAGAAAGAGAUGGUUAUACACACCUCUUGGACCACUGUGCUGGAGUAAAUGGACUUGUCGUAGUGCCAGCCAUGCUGGCAGGGCACUAUCCGCGCAGACUCCGGGUGCAGACUGAGCAAAUCUUCAGCCUCUUGCCUAAUCAGAUCAAAGGGCGGUCGGUACUCCAAAUACCGGACAAUGUCGCUGUAGUUGCGGGCAUACAUGGAGCACUCGGCGUAGGCGCCUUGAGGGUUUCGCGGGAUGCUCAGAUUCUUCACCAGCUGCACAUAGUCUUGGGUCCAUGGCUCCAGCUCUGGUACUCGACACCAGUGCUGUGGAGUGGCCGCGAUGAAUAGUUGACUGCAAGGAUGCCAAAGGAUAGGAAUCACUGCACCCAAGAAAUCCACGUGCUUACCUGUAGGCGUGAAAGGCACAGGGCAGGGCAGCCGGCAGCAGCACCGAGCAUAUAAUGACCUUCUGGUAGAGACCGAAAGAUCCCACCUCCUUAAGUACCUCAUCGAAGUCCAUGUCGUCUGCAUCCGAGCCAAGCGCGCGCACAACUAACGAGCUGGUGCUGGGGACCUUGCCCACUUCCAGGCCAGGAAUUGACGACGAACUGCAAUCGCCACAGGGGCUGAUUGAACAUAAUUACAUUACGGCCUUUCAUCUGUUUUAAUUAAUUGGACACCGCGGCGUGGACAAGGUUCGAGAUUUGUGGACACAGUUGAGCCACCGAUCCACACUGCAAAACCCAACCAAAGCGAUCACUCGGACACGGUGGGCUGGCUAGUAGUCAAAUUUGUAUUUCUUCGUAUAGGGUACAUAAAAUUAAAUUACAUAUUUCUAGAACUGGAACGCGAACGGCCGCCGACAUGGAGACGGACUGGUCUAGUUGCGGGCCAAUCCGAUGAUGGUCAGUAUGUACAUGAAGAUGUUGACGAUGUCCAGGUAGAGGUUGAGGGCCGCGAAGAUAUACUCCUCGGGACUGAUCGAAUACUUGUGGUUCCCGCCCAGCAUCAGCUGCGUGUCGUAAACCAGAUACACGGAGAAGAGCAGGGCACCCAGCGAGGCGUACACGAGGCCGAUCACCUGGCCCGGUAUGAAGAUGGCAAUGAUACCAAAGAUGAUGAAGACUACCAGGCAGGCGACUAGCACUCCGCCGCACAUCGUAAAGUCCCACUUGGUUUGCAGUGCGAAGAUGGUGAGGCCCAAGGCCACGGCUGCCGUAAUUCCCACGGCCAUCAGUACCUCAUUGGCCUCGUACUGGCCGGCCACCAUGCCCAGCAGGAAGGAUUCGGCGAUCGUGAACAGGAACAGGAAUAUAAAGUUGAGCGGCGUUUUCCGGCGAACGCUCUCGCAGCAGGCCAUGCAUAUCAUGGUCACAAUGAGAACGGCCUGGAAAAAAUAGAGAAGAAAUGUUAUAUCCAAACAGGAUAGCCUGUGCCUAUCAAGAGGCAGCCACUCACCAGGGCGAUCCAAACGAGGUAUGGGUUCUUCUGUACCCAUUCCUGUGUACCCUUUGAGAAGGUGAACACGCUGACAAACCCGAACGUGAUCAGCAGUUGUACCUAGGAAGCAAGACAGAUUACAGCUAAUGAGAUAUACAUUGAUUAGCUGCUGCUGGUUCACUUACCAUCAGAAUGAGAUACACCUUCCGUAUGAAGCCCUUCCUGAUGCUCUGGUCAUCAAAAUCGAAGGUUUUGUCGGCCUCCCCAUCUGUGUAGGCGCCAGUUUCAUCGCCUAUGGAUGGAGACAGGUUCAAAGGAAUUGGGUAUUAAUUCAGCGAUGACUAACCGUAUUGAAAGUGGGUGCUCAUGGCUAGAUUGUUAUAGAUAAUAUACAAUAUAUAUGCUCUCUCUCUGGAUGUAUGCCGCCGCAGUUACGGUUCGUGCGAGUUGUUCCGCUUGCAGGUGACGAUGGUCUAACCCAUUUGCGCUACCAGAAGGUAUCCCAUAUGGCCGACAGUUUGCAGAUUAGUCCAAACGCUUAUCAAAUUGACUCUCACACACACACACACACGGGCAGCAGUGGAUGCAGAUAACAGAUAAUGUACACUCACACGCACAUAUGGAUGUGUGUGCUGUUGAGUAACAGAUAUGUAUGUAUGUUGUGGCCCAGCAAAUGUUCGAUAUCUCGCACCCUCAGUAGGUGAAUCACGACAAAUCGUGCAACACAAUUAUUGGUCCCAGAGGGAGAGAGCUCAGGCAAUUGUCGAUUAUUUUAUCGCCACAACUCUUCUUUUGGCUUAGCCGUCAUCGGCAUUACUCCCAUCCUGUACUUGCCUUGCUGGUAGUGAUACAUUUUAUUUGUAUAUUGCGGCUAAAUCGAUGACUACGACUACGACUGGUUGGAAAUCACUCGAACUACUGAGCACCAGGUGUCGGUGGCGGUGACCCGGUUGCACACACAAUUUAAAAGACACCAAAACUCACACGCACACAAUCGUGUGGCUUUGAUAAGAAAGUCAACCCAACUAACGCGACAAAAAUGAUAAAGCAAAGGUAUUUUAUUUGAUAAAGUACCCCUUUUUUGGGGUAAUGGUAAUCCGUGCGCAAGCGACGCUGGCCGACUGCAGACUGAUGAUGUUGAAUGCCACUGACGGUGGCAAUGCCCCCAGGCUGAGCUGCGAUGGGGAAGACCUACAAACGCUGCUCUCUGUGGUCAGAACAAUCCAGCUUUAAUAAAUAGACGCUCUUUAUUGUUGAUUUUAAACUCAGUGUUGCUGCAGGGCUUACAUCGUUCGGUAUUAGAUUUACAAUUACAGUUCGGAACUCUAGCUUUUGUUUUUUGUUUUGUUUUUACAAAGUUAAACGUAUUUAACAAUUGCAAACCGUGUUGCAUAUAUAGUA
Molecule: long non-coding RNA, 4309 nt
Organism: Drosophila obscura
Lineage: Eukaryota; Metazoa; Arthropoda; Insecta; Diptera; Drosophilidae
Exons: 2
Source: RefSeq, a predicted model, not a curated record